UCGCGAAAACUUGUCAAUGCACGAAAGUGUGAACAGGGAAUCCUGAGUGCUCAUGUUUUACAUGGGCUUUUGCCAAGAGCUAAUAUCUUGGCGAAUAAGUGGUGGGUAAGACGGGUGCCAGCCGCCGCGGUAACCCCCGCGCCACUAGUGGGGAUCACAAUUAUUUGGUCUAAAGCGUCCGUAGCCGGUCUUGCAAAUUCUCUGUGAAAUCGUUCAGCUUAACUGAACGGCGGGCAGAGGGGACUGCUAGACUUGGAACCAGGAAGGGUCAGAAGUAUUCUUGAGGGAGCGGUAAAAUGUUAUAAUCUCAAGAGGACUACCGAUGGCGAAGGCAUCUGACUGGAAUGGAUUCGACGGUGAGGGACGAAAGCCAGGGGAGCAAACCGG
This 387-nucleotide ribosomal RNA is filed under the name uncultured euryarchaeote. RNAcentral's name for it is "bacterial SSU rRNA". It matches the Rfam family "Archaeal small subunit ribosomal RNA", at positions 339 to 727 of the family's 1478-position model. The record is from RNAcentral. Lineage: Archaea; Methanobacteriati; Methanobacteriota.